Long non-coding RNA from Thalassophryne amazonica, 482 nucleotides. RefSeq lists it as uncharacterized. The record is from RefSeq and is a predicted model, not a curated record. Lineage: Eukaryota; Metazoa; Chordata; Actinopteri; Batrachoidiformes; Batrachoididae. The transcript is spliced from 2 exons.
CUCUCUCCCCACACCGCGUGUCGAGCCUCUGUCGGGCUCCUCGACGCCGAUAAAACCCCGCGUAGGUUUUUCCGAACCGGGUCGAAAUGCGCACGUUUGUGCGUAAAAACAAUGUGUUUUUUUUUUCCCUUUUGGUUCUUUUUUUUUUCCCCCUCCACGAACUGCGGAGAUCGGACUGCAUUUGCCCGUUUCUUAUCUCCCGCACACGGAGGAGGAGAGGACGGAGGCUGGUGUACACACAGGGUGCAGCCAGGUGCAAUGGGAGCGCCCUCUUAUGUUCAGCCUGACCACAGGGAUCAAGCAGCGCAUCAACUUCUCACAGCAGCCAAACGUCUGCACACCAGCUGCGAAAGUGCAACUCCCUUUACUCCUCACAUUAACCCGUGCGCGCGCACCCAAAGCUUAGCAAUAACCUGGUGCAAAUCACAAAAUAAUGCUUAAUGUUUGCGCAUUUCCAGAUGAUAAUAUGAUAGAUUUGGAGU